Molecule: ribosomal RNA, 286 nt
Filed under: uncultured archaeon SYA_2000_24
Lineage: Archaea
Description: partial 16S ribosomal RNA
Rfam family: Archaeal small subunit ribosomal RNA
Source: RNAcentral
GUAGCUGGCUGAGUUAGUCCCUUGUUAAAUCCACCGAAUUAAUCGGUUGGAUUGCGGGGGAUACUGCUCGGCUAGGGGACGAGAGAGGCAGACGGUAUUUCUGGCGUAGGGGUGAAAUCCUAUAAUCCCAGGAGGACCACCAGUGGCGAAGGCUGUCUGCUAGAACGCGCCCGACGGUGAGGGAUGAAAGCUGGGGGAGCGAACCGGAUUAGAUACCCGGGUAGUCCCAGCUGUAAACGAUGCAGACUAGGUGUUUGGACGGCCACGUGCCGUUGCUAGUGCCGCA